RNAcentral lists this ribosomal RNA (291 nucleotides) under uncultured bacterium. RNAcentral describes it as "partial 16S ribosomal RNA". It matches the Rfam family "Bacterial small subunit ribosomal RNA", at positions 28 to 334 of the family's 1533-position model. The record is from RNAcentral.
GACGAACGCUGGCGGCGUGCCUAACACAUGCAAGUCAAGGAGAACGUUUCCUUCGGGAGACUAUUAAACUGGCGCACGGGUGAGUAACACGUGGAUUAUCUACCCUUAACACAGACAUAACCCAGGGAAACUUGGAUUAAUAUCUGAUGAGGCCUCCGGGUCAAAGCUACGGCGGUUAAGGAUGAGUCUGCGUAUGAUUAGCUAGUUGGUAAGGUAAUGGCUUACCAAGGCGACGAUCAUUAACUGGUCUGAGAGGACGAUCAGUCACACUGGAACUGAGACACGGUCCAG